RNAcentral lists this ribosomal RNA (550 nucleotides) under Cladosporium cladosporioides. RNAcentral describes it as "eukaryotic LSU rRNA". The stretch from base 186 to 339 matches the Rfam family "5.8S ribosomal RNA". Lineage: Eukaryota; Fungi; Ascomycota; Dothideomycetes; Cladosporiales; Cladosporiaceae. The record is from RNAcentral.
UCCGUAGGUGACCUGCGGAGGGAUCAUUACAAGUGACCCCGGUCUAACCACCGGGAUGUUCAUAACCCUUUGUUGUCCGACUCUGUUGCCUCCGGGGCGACCCUGCCUUCGGGCGGGGGCUCCGGGUGGACACUUCAAACUCUUGCGUAACUUUGCAGUCUGAGUAAACUUAAUUAAUAAAUUAAAACUUUUAACAACGGAUCUCUUGGUUCUGGCAUCGAUGAAGAACGCAGCGAAAUGCGAUAAGUAAUGUGAAUUGCAGAAUUCAGUGAAUCAUCGAAUCUUUGAACGCACAUUGCGCCCCCUGGUAUUCCGGGGGGCAUGCCUGUUCGAGCGUCAUUUCACCACUCAAGCCUCGCUUGGUAUUGGGCAACGCGGUCCGCCGCGUGCCUCAAAUCGACCGGCUGGGUCUUCUGUCCCCUAAGCGUUGUGGAAACUAUUCGCUAAAGGGUGCUCGGGAGGCUACGCCGUAAAACAAACCCAUUUCUAAGGUUGACCUCGGAUCAGGUAGGGAUACCCGCUGAACUUAAGCAUAUCAAUAAGCGGAGGA